AAUUUUGUGUGUGUGUGAUGGAGUCAGGGUUUUGGAACUGUGACCUCUCUUUUUGUGUUUCAGAACUGGUCUCUCCUACUGUGGGUUUUUUUUAAAGAUUGGCACCUGAGCUAACAUCUGUUGCCAAUCUUUUUUUUUUUCCUUCUUCUUCUUCUCCCCAAAGCUCCCCCAGCACAUGGUUGUGUAUUCUAGUUGUGAGUGCCUAUGGUUGUGCUGUGUGGGACGUGCCUCAGCAUGGCUUGAUGAGGGUGCCAUGUCCGCGCACAGGAUCCGAACCAGCGAAACCCUGGGCUGCUGAAGUGGAGCGCGCGAACUUAACUGCUCGGCCACGGGGCUGGCCCCUGUGGCUUUUUCUUUUUACAAAGGUAUUCUUUUACAUUCAGACGUGGAGCACGAACUCUACCAGGUGGUCAAAUUGUCCCUAUUUCCCCCAUCCCCCUCACAAAAGACGUAAAAUCACAAAGAAUCUACCACCAGCACUGCCGCCACCAAGCAACCGGAAUGCCGAGGAGUCUGGAUGACCCAUCCACAGACUUUAGAAUUGCCUCAGCUUGGCCUAAGUGUGUCCUGCCCAGGAAACUCCACACCAGUAGGAUUAUGCCCUAUUGCGUGUUGCUGCAUCCCAGGAUGGAGCCUACGGAGCACGACGACUGUCACAGAGCAGGCGCUCCAUAAAUAUCUGUGGAAUGAAGGAAGCAAGAUGGGAUCCCACCGGCCCCAAGGCUUUGUUGAAUGGAACCGUGAGUGAGAAUGUAAACUCUCGAGCCCAAGGCUUUCCACGGAAUUCCCUUUGGACUGGUUCAUUCUUUUUGCUCAACAUGAGAAAACAGCAGGAGUUAUUGGUUGGACUGCGUGAUGAGCCAGAUUGUCUGGGGGCAAGGCAGGCUGGGUAGGGGAGAGGAAACAACCCUAUGGACUGUGAUAAAGGAAUGUAUGAAGUUUUAUAAAAACAUAGAUAAAUAAU
RNAcentral lists this long non-coding RNA (964 nucleotides) under Equus caballus (horse). Its description in RNAcentral is "lncRNA (ENSECAG00000046873.1)". The record is from RNAcentral. Lineage: Eukaryota; Metazoa; Chordata; Mammalia; Perissodactyla; Equidae.